GACGAACGCUGGCGGCGUGCUUAACACAUGCAAGUCGAACGGAAAGGCCCCCUUGUGGGGUACUCGAGUGGCGAACGGGUGAGUAACACGUGAGUAACCUACCCUUGACUUUGGGAUAACUUCAGGAAACUGGGGCUAAUACCGGAUAGGAGCUCCUGCUGCAUGGUGGGGGUUGGAAAGUUUUGGCGGUUGGGGUUGGACUCGCAGCUUAUCAGCUUGUUGGUGGGGUAGUGGCUCACCAAGGCUUUGACGGGUAGCCGGCCUGAGAGGGUGCCCGGCCACAAUGGGACUGAGAGACGGCCCAGACUCCUACGGGAGGCAGCAGUGGAGAGUAUUGCACAAUGGGCGGAAGCCUGAGGCAACGACGCCGCGUGCGGGAUGACGGCCUUCGAGUUGUAAACCGCUUUCGCCUGAAACGAAGCGUGAGUGACGGUAAUGGGUAAAGAAGCACCGGCUAACUACGUG
Molecule: ribosomal RNA, 465 nt
Filed under: uncultured bacterium
Lineage: Bacteria
Description: partial 16S ribosomal RNA
Rfam family: Bacterial small subunit ribosomal RNA
Source: RNAcentral